CGGAGGAGCUAGCGUUGUUCGGAAUUACUGGGCGUAAAGCGCACGUAGGCGGCGAUUCAAGUCAGAGGUGAAGCCCGGGCUCAACCCCGGAACUGCCUUUGAAACUAGAUUGCUAGAAUCUUGGAGAGGCGAGUGGAAUUCCGAGUGUAGAGGUGAAAUUCGUAGAUAUUCGGAAGAACACCAGUGGCGAAGGCGACUCGCUGGACAAGUAUUGACGCUGAGGUGCGAAAGCGUGGGAGCAAACAGGAUU
RNAcentral lists this ribosomal RNA (250 nucleotides) under uncultured bacterium. Its description in RNAcentral is "partial 16S ribosomal RNA". It matches the Rfam family "Bacterial small subunit ribosomal RNA", at positions 527 to 779 of the family's 1533-position model. The record is from RNAcentral.